Molecule: ribosomal RNA, 472 nt
Filed under: uncultured bacterium
Lineage: Bacteria
Description: bacterial SSU rRNA
Rfam family: Bacterial small subunit ribosomal RNA
Source: RNAcentral
GACGAACGCUGGCGGCGUGCCUAACACAUGCAAGUCGAGCGGAGAUAUAUGGAAGGUUUACCGGAAAUAUAUCUUAGUGGCGGACGGGUGAGUAACGCGUGAGGAACCUGCCUUUCGGAGGGGAAUAACACAUCGAAAGAUGUGCUAAUACCGCAUAAUGUCAUCGGGUGGCAUCGCCUGAUGACCAAAAGAGCAAUCUGCCGAAAGAUGGCCUCGCGUCCGAUUAGAUAGUUGGUGAGGUAACGGCCCACCAAGUCUGCGAUCGGUAGCCGGACUGAGAGGUUGAACGGCCACAUUGGGACUGAGACACGGCCCAGACUCCUACGGGAGGCAGCAGUGGGGGAUAUUAGUCAAUGGAGGAAACUCUGAACUAGCGACGCCGCGUGAGGGAAGAAGGUCUUCGGAUUGUAAACCUCUGUCUUCGGGGACGAUAAUGACGGUACCCGAGGAGGAAGCUCCGGCUAACUACGUG